GCGGCCCUACGGGACGCAGCAGUAGGGAAUAUUGCUCAAUGGGGGAAACCCUGAAGCAGCAACGCCGCGUGGAGGAUGAAGGUUUUAGGAUUGUAAACUCCUUUUGUAAGAGAAGAUUAUGACGGUAUCUUACGAAUAAGCACCGGCUAACUCCGUGCCAGCAGCCGCGGUAAUACGGAGGGCGCAAGCGUUACUCGGAAUCACUGGGCGUAAAGAGCGCGUAGGCGGGUGGUCAAGUCAGAUGUGAAAUCCUGUAGCUUAACUACAGAACUGCAUUUGAAACUGAUCAUCUGGAGUAUGGGAGG
Molecule: ribosomal RNA, 305 nt
Filed under: uncultured bacterium
Lineage: Bacteria
Description: bacterial SSU rRNA
Rfam family: Bacterial small subunit ribosomal RNA
Source: RNAcentral